AUGGCAGCCUGGGUGGAUUUUCAGUCUGUGGCCCCGAGCAGAGGCGCAGGAGCCUCAGGAGGGGCAGGCGCAGUGACUACCCUAGGCCAGACGGAACUCCCAGAACUUCAUGCUUCCAGGUGGCCGAAUGACACCUCAGGGACCUUCCAUGGGACCUCCUGGCUAUGGAGUGAACCCUUCAAUCCGACCUAGCCUGGCCCAUCAGGGAUGGACCAGUCCCGCAAGAGACCAGCACCUCAGCAGAUCCAGCAGGUCCAGCAGCAGGCAGUCCACAAUCGAAACCACAAUGCAAAGCAAAAGAGGAUGGCUGACAAAAUUCUACCUCAAAGGAUUCGUUAACUGGUACCAGAAUCCCAGGCCUCUUGGCUUUUGAAAGGAAACUGGACCAGACUAUAAUGAGGAAACAUGUAGAUAUCUAAGAUGCCUUGAAAUGUCCCAUCAAGCAAAAAUGGAAGCUGCACAUUUUCAUCUCUAACACUUUCAAUCCAGCUAAAUCAGAUGCUGAGGAUGGGGAAGGGAUGGUGGCAUCCUGGGAGCUUCGGGUAGAGGGAUGGCUCCUGGAGGAUUCAGCCUUGUCCAAAUAUGAUGCCAUCAAACAAAAGAGGAAAUUCUCUUCCUUUUUUAAGUCCUUGGUGAUUGAAUUGGACAAAGACCUGUGUGGACCAGACAAUCAUCUAGUAGAACCUCCCCAGUUUAAAUUAAACCUUCAUCUGGCUUGGCUCCUGCGUAUCCACACCCAGACUCAUCCAGGGAUUAUCCAAGCACUGUGGCAAUACAUUAGGACACAUAAACUCUAAGACCCUCGUGAGCAGGAGUUUAUCUGUGACAAGUACCUCCAGCAGAUCUUUGAGUCUCAAUGUAUGAAGUUUUCAGAGAUCCCUCAAAGGCUGCAUGCCCUGCUUAUGCCACCAGGAUCCAUUAUCAUUAAUCAUGUCAUCAGUGUUGACCCAAAUGACCAGAAAAAAACAGCAUGUUAUGACAUUGAUGUGGAAGUGGAUGCUACCCUGAAGACCUAGAUGAAUUCUUUUCUGCUGUCCACUGCUAGCCAGCAGGAGAUUGCUACUUUAGACAACAAGAUCCACGAGACAAUAGAAACUAUCAACCAGCUGAAGACCCAGUGGGAAUUCACGCUCAGCUUUGCCAGAGACCCUCAGGUUUUUAUCAAUGACUGGCUUCAGUCCUAGUGCUGGGACCUCAAGACCAUGACCAAUGUGAUGGGCAACCCAGAGGAAGAGUGCCUAGCCGAGUUCUACUUCCAGCCUUGGGCUCAGGAGGCCAUGUGCCGAUACUUCUACUCUAAGGUGCAGCAGAGACAACAAGAAUUAGAGCAAGCUCUGGGAAUCCAGAAUACAUAG
Molecule: RNA transcript, 1355 nt
Organism: Octodon degus (degu)
Lineage: Eukaryota; Metazoa; Chordata; Mammalia; Rodentia; Octodontidae
Gene name: SWI/SNF-related matrix-associated actin-dependent regulator of chromatin subfamily D member 1 pseudogene
Exons: 1
Source: RefSeq, a predicted model, not a curated record